AUUGUCAGAUGGAUGAAGAAAAUAUGAAAAAAGCUGAUCAAUAUUAGAGGACAUUUGUAUUUCAGUCAUGACUAAUAGCUAGAAUUUUCAAGGAAGAAGAUGCAUGAGUAGAGUAUUGAAGCAUAUGUAAUGUACCGAAUUUUAAUAUAAAAAUAAGUAUAAAUAAAAAUAGUGUAAGAUACUAUUUUUAUUGGACUUAAAGAAGUGAAAUAUAAGCCGGAAAUGACUUGUGCUGAAAUUGGAAUGAAAACAAAAGAUUUAGAAUUUUCUGUAAGAAACGAGGCUGAUCUUUUAGCAGAAAAUUCACAGUGUCAGAAAAUUAUGAAAAUUUGAGAAUAUAUUAGAAUUAUUUUUAUGAGGCUAGAUUUAAAGUUUCAUGUCAUUCCGACGCCUGAAAAGUGAAAAACAAAAUCUGACUGCUAUCUUCUAGAGAUUUUAGUCGGUAGAGCUUUCGGUGACAAAAAAUAGCCCAAACUGAGAAGUUAAGAUUUCGUUCUUCUUGUUAAUUUAAACCGAAUCUGAUUGUGAAAUUUGAGCUUAAACGAACAUUCAGAAGGGUUCCGACGAAAAGUAUUAGAUUCUGAACCGCUAAACUGAAAAUUUUAGAGUGUGUUGGGAGGGCCUAUAUGAAA
This 632-nucleotide long non-coding RNA is filed under the name Ananas comosus (pineapple). RNAcentral describes it as "long non-coding RNA (ACOM_LNC019770)". Lineage: Eukaryota; Viridiplantae; Streptophyta; Magnoliopsida; Poales; Bromeliaceae. The record is from RNAcentral.